This 301-nucleotide ribosomal RNA is filed under the name uncultured bacterium. Its description in RNAcentral is "partial 16S ribosomal RNA". It matches the Rfam family "Bacterial small subunit ribosomal RNA", at positions 509 to 807 of the family's 1533-position model. The record is from RNAcentral.
CAGCAGCCGCGGGAAUACGAAGGGGGCUAGCGUUGCUCGGAAUGACUGGGCGUAAAGGGCGCGUAGGCGAAAUGCUUUGUCGGGCGUGAAAUUCCAGGGCUUAACCUUGGGGCUGCGUUCGAGACGGGUAUUCUAGAGUGGAGAAGAGGGUCGUGGAAUUCCCAGUGUAGAGGUGAAAUUCGUAGAUAUUGGGAAGAACACCGGUGGCGAAGGCGGCGACCUGGUCUUUUACUGACGCUGAGGCGCGAAAGCGUGGGGAGCAAACAGGAUUAGAGACCCCAGUAGUCCCUGUCUCUUAUAC